Molecule: ribosomal RNA, 441 nt
Filed under: uncultured bacterium
Lineage: Bacteria
Description: bacterial SSU rRNA
Rfam family: Bacterial small subunit ribosomal RNA
Source: RNAcentral
UAGGGAAUCUUCCACAAUGGGCGAAAGCCUGAUGGAGCAACGCCGCGUGAGUGAAGAAGGUUUUCGGAUCGUAAAACUCUGUUGUAAGGGAAGAACAAGUACAGUAGUAACUGGCUGCACCUUGACGGUACCUUAUUAGAAAGCCACGGCUAACUACGUGCCAGCAGCCGCGGUAAUACGUAGGUGGCAAGCGUUGUCCGGAAUUAUUGGGCGUAAAGCGCGCGCAGGCGGUCCUUUAAGUCUGAUGUGAAAGCCCUCGGCUCAACCGAGGAGGGUCAUUGGAAACUGGAGGACUUGAGUGCAGAAGAGGAAAGUGGAAUUCCAAGGUGUAGCGGUGAAAUGCGUAGAGAUUUGGAGGAACACCAGUGGCGAAGGCGACUUUCUGGUCUGUAACUGACGCUGAGGCGCGAAAGCGUGGGGAGCAAACAGGAUUAGAUACCC